UACGAAGGGGGCUAGCGUUGUUCGGAAUCACUGGGCGUAAAGAGCACAUAGGCGGACUUGUUAGUCAGGGGUGAAAUCCCGGGGCUCAACCCCGGAACUGCCUUUGAAACUGCAAGUCUUGAGUCCGAGAGAGGUGAGUGGAAUUCCUAGUGUAGAGGUGAAAUUCGUAGAUAUUAGGAAGAACACCAGUGGCCAAGGCGGCUAACUGGUUCGGAACUGACGCUGAGGUGCGAAAGCGUGGGGAGCAAACAGG
Molecule: unclassified non-coding RNA, 253 nt
Filed under: uncultured Alphaproteobacteria bacterium
Lineage: Bacteria; Pseudomonadati; Pseudomonadota; Alphaproteobacteria
Description: contains 16S-23S intergenic spacer region
Rfam family: Bacterial small subunit ribosomal RNA
Source: RNAcentral